CUCCUGCACGUGGACGCAGACGAUUUAUAUUUCGGAAACUUCUGAUAUUUCGUGAUCAUUUUUGUCCUCUAAGAAAGUUUUUGUCAGGUGGAAAUCUGCCGUUUCCAACGGUUUUCGGCGAGCUGAUCCCACAUGGGUUUUUCUCGUUGAUGGAUGAAAUUGCAUUCAUCUCCUGGAAAACGUUGAAUUGGCUUAGUAAACAGUUCAGGAACAUUGCAUUUAUUGGUGAUGCCCAGUGUUGCCUAAAAGCACAGUUGUGGAGGAAGCUUUGCCUAGAGGAAGGUGGUUCCCAGCCUGGAGAGCAACAAAGCCAAGAAGGGAUCACUCAACUGAAAAUACCAGUAUUUCCAGCCUAAUAGCAAGAUCAGAGGGCAUGGUCCCCACGAAGGCUGUCCAAGGGAGAUUCAGCAACCUACUUGAUCAG
Long non-coding RNA from Lineus longissimus, 424 nucleotides. RefSeq lists it as uncharacterized. The transcript has 4 exons. The record is from RefSeq and is a predicted model, not a curated record. Lineage: Eukaryota; Metazoa; Nemertea; Pilidiophora; Heteronemertea; Lineidae.